RNAcentral lists this ribosomal RNA (669 nucleotides) under Salmonella enterica. RNAcentral's name for it is "partial 23S ribosomal RNA". It matches the Rfam family "Bacterial large subunit ribosomal RNA", at positions 2274 to 2925 of the family's 2925-position model. The record is from RNAcentral. Lineage: Bacteria; Pseudomonadati; Pseudomonadota; Gammaproteobacteria; Enterobacterales; Enterobacteriaceae.
CUGGGGCGGUCUCCUCCUAAAGAGUAACGGAGGAGCACGAAGGUUGGCUAAUCCUGGUCGGACAUCAGGAGGUUAGUGCAAUGGCAUAAGCCAGCUUGACUGCGAGCGUGACGGCGCGAGCAGGUGCGAAAGCAGGUCAUAGUGAUCCGGUGGUUCUGAAUGGAAGGGCCAUCGCUCAACGGAUAAAAGGUACUCCGGGGAUAACAGGCUGAUACCGCCCAAGAGUUCAUAUCGACGGCGGUGUUUGGCACCUCGAUGUCGGCUCAUCACAUCCUGGGGCUGAAGUAGGUCCCAAGGGUAUGGCUGUUCGCCAUUUAAAGUGGUACGCGAGCUGGGUUUAGAACGUCGUGAGACAGUUCGGUCCCUAUCUGCCGUGGGCGCUGGAGAAUUGAGGGGGGCUGCUCCUAGUACGAGAGGACCGGAGUGGACGCAUCACUGGUGUUCGGGUUGUCAUGCCAAUGGCACUGCCCGGUAGCUAAAUGCGGAAAAGAUAAGUGCUGAAAGCAUCUAAGCACGAAACUUGCCCCGAGAUGAGUUCUCCCUGAGACUAUAAGUCUCCUGAAGGAACGUUGAAGACGACGACGUUGAUAGGUCGGGUGUGUAAGCGUAGCGAUACGUUGAGCUAACCGGUACUAAUGAACCGUGAGGCUUAACCUUACAACGCCGAAG